GUUAGGGUAUGUUUGUGCGAACCGGAGCCUGUGACCAGUUGAUCUCAAUCCAGGUUCAGAUUAAACCAAGAGUUGGACUGCUGCAAAGGCCUGGAGCACCCCUAUCAAAACUAACAACAACAAAAAUUUCAGUUCUUGCUUAUGCUGGAGAGGAAACAAAUUGAAACGAUCUGAACAACCAAGAAAAGAUCCUCUGAAGAAACGAAGGUUCAACCAACAAAUAUUCUUUAGUUCAUUCAACUGAUAAAAAAAUCUCUGUACAAUAAUGGAGAAACCAAAAGCUUACAAGAAGUGAAGUAAGAUGCGCAUGAAAAUUCUUUAGAUCCAUGAAUUUACAAAAUUCUUGUUAGGAUGAAGAUUGUUAAUAUCAUAAUUGUCCCUGCCUUAUUACAUUGAAUGUUGUGCCUAGUGGUUGUUGUUUUUUUGUAUGGGGGAGUCCCCAUCACAGUUGCUUGCUACUGGGGUUCUUAUGCGUCGCCUUUACGUUGCACUACUGCAAAGGCCUGGAGCACCCCUACCAAAACGAAGAAAAACUUUCAGGCUUCCGGAGCUAAGAAAACAUUCAGUUAUAGCUUAUGAUUCAUUUGUAAAUGUUUGUUGUAUCAGAGUUGAAACAAGUCCUGAUCUGAUCGAUGCUUAAGUAAGCUAUCUUUAACAUAUCGAAUACCAAUUUUUCCUUACCAUUUGAGUCU
Papaver somniferum (opium poppy) is the source of this 692-nucleotide long non-coding RNA. RefSeq lists it as uncharacterized. Lineage: Eukaryota; Viridiplantae; Streptophyta; Magnoliopsida; Ranunculales; Papaveraceae. The record is from RefSeq and is a predicted model, not a curated record. The transcript has 2 exons.